Molecule: RNA transcript, 6011 nt
Organism: Solea solea (common sole)
Lineage: Eukaryota; Metazoa; Chordata; Actinopteri; Pleuronectiformes; Soleidae
Gene: eif2ak4
Gene name: eukaryotic translation initiation factor 2 alpha kinase 4
Exons: 41
Source: RefSeq, a predicted model, not a curated record
CUGGUUACUAGUUUAUUUUAAUGUCAUCCGUUUAUUUUAGUGUUGUGUGUAAUGAUCAGGGCCUGAGCUCAGAUGUAGUCCAAAAACGACGCCCUCUAGCGGCCACCCUUGAGAACGCAAUGUGAUGACGUUUCUCCUGCGACACAGGACGCUGGCUACAGCCGACAGCCACGCGCCACCAGCAGCAGCCACCACCACAGCAGUGGACCUUGUUAUGACCACUUGUGCUGUAAAUGAGCGUUUACCGAGUGUUUUUGAAAGCGAGUGGCUCAACGCCCGCUAAAGACUGAGUUUAGAGGGACACGUAGGGGCAGAGGAGAGAGCGGGAACCUUUUCCUGUUUCUGUGUGAAGGCUGUGGGCGUGCGCGCGUGUGUGUGUGUGUGUGAGAGAGAAAGUGUAUGUGUGUCAGGUCCACAGGAGCACUGCCAUGUAGCUGGGGCUGAAGAAUGAGCGGCCAGCACACAACAGCAGAUUCGACAGAAGACCACACGGUCCAGCAGGAGAAUGAACUAGAAGCCCUCGCCUCUAUCUUUGGAGAUGACUUCAAGGAUCUGCGGAACAAGGACCCGUGGAAGGUCAAAAGGCCGCCGGAGGUGCACCUCUGUCUGAGGCCCAACGGACUAAACAAUGGACAGGAAUGCUACGCGACCGUGGACUUGCAGGUCAAAUGUCCCCCCACGUACCCAGACGUGCCUCCGGAGCUGGAGCUGAAGAAUGCCAAAGGCCUCUCAAAUGAAAAUCUCCAGAACCUGAAGAGUGAACUCUCAAAGCUGGCAGCGGUGCGAUGUGGAGAGGUGAUGAUUUACGAGCUAGCGGAUCAUAUCCAGGGUUUCCUGAGUGAGCACAACAAGCCUCCACCAAGCUCCUUCCAUGAGGAGAUGCUGAAGAACCAACGGAAGCAGCAGGAGAAACAAGCGAUGGAGGAGCAGCGGAAGAUAGACCAGCAACGCAGACAGGAGGAGGAGAUGGAGAAAGAGAUUAUGGCUGUAAUCCAAAGAAGAGAGGAAGAUAAGCGAGAAGAAAAGAGAAGAAAGGAAAUAGCAAAACAGGAGCGACUUGAGACCAUGGAGCAGCCACUCGCUGCUAACAGUUCUCUGUUAGGGAAGAGCCCCCCAAGCCCAGGGGCAGCGCCAUUUGAAGGGAGUGAAGCGAGAAAAGGAGUUGGUAACCGCCGUCGGACUACCUCGAGCACACGCCACAGACGUGACACGUUUAAUGAAGACAACCAGCGCUCUCAAGAGGUCCUUCACUUCAACAGCAGCACUUUUGGAGAGCUUGCUGUUCACAGGGGGAAAAGUCUAGGUGAAAGCGAGAGGCUUGGCCGUAGCACUUAUUACGGAUUCGAGGCAAACUCUGGAGACUUUGCAGUGAUCUAUGAGUGGUCGCUGUGCUGGAACAAGAAGAUGGGCAAGUUUUUCACCAGCCAAGAGAGAGGAAAGAUUGACAAUUGUAAAAAACAGAUCCAUGGGGCUGAAAAUGAGUUUAACUCCCUCCUGAGACUGGAUCACCCAAACUUGGUGCGCUACAUGGCGCUGAGCUCUGCCGAGAGGGAAGACUGCCUUGUGAUUGAUCUACUGGUGGAGCAUAUUCCUGGGGUCAACUUGAACCAAAACCUGAUCAGCAACAACCCGGUCCCUCUGGAUAAACUCCGCCAUUACACGUCCCAGCUGUUGGCCGUACUUGACUACCUUCACUCCAACUCUGUAGUGCACAAGCAGCUUGGCGCCUCCAGUGUGCUGUUGGACUCUGGGGACAACGUUCGGCUAACCGAUUACAGCUUGUCGAAGAGAUUCGCUGAUAUCUGCAAAGAGGAUAUUUUUGAGCAAGCCCAUGUUCGCUUCACAGAGGGAACGGUGAUGCCGACAAAGAUGGGCAAGAAAGGCGACGUGUGGAACCUGGGGCUGAUGCUGCUCGCACUGAGUCAAGGGAAAGAAGUGAAGGACUAUCCAGUGACGGUGCCCGCCUCACUGCCUGCUGAUUUCCAGGACUUCCUCCACAAGUGUGUGUGUAUCAAUGAUGCUGAGCGCUGGACGCCCCAGCAGCUCUUGGACCACUCCUUCCUCAAGCCUCCAUCACCCAAAAACCUGCCGCAGUCCAACGAUGCCAGCCCAGAAGAUCUUGCUGAGGACUUUGCCUCAUCGGUCAUCCCACGAAGUCACAUCCUCAAUGCUCCAUUUAUAUCUGGCGUGCAGAGGCAGUUUUCACGCUACUUUAGUGAGUUUGAGGAGCUGCAGCUUCUGGGAAAAGGAGCCUUUGGUGCCGUGAUAAAGGUUCAGAACAACCUGGACGGCUGUUACUACGCUGUGAAGCAGAUCCAGGUCAACCCAGCCAGCAAGCAGUUCAGACGGAUCAAAGGCGAGGUGACGCUGCUCUCGCGUCUCAACCAUGAGAACAUCGUCCGCUAUUACAACGCAUGGAUCGAGCGGCACGAGAAGCCCUCCACAGGUCUGCUGAGCAGCACCGACAGCUCCGAGCCUCAGAGUACAGAUGACGACGUUCCUCGAGGCAGAGGUCAUCCGCCGAAGUGUCGGAAUGAGCUCGGCUUCCUCGACAACGUGGAGGACAACGCGCCGCCUCCAGCGCUGUCGAGCUCUGUAGAGUGGUCCACCUCCAUUGAGAAGUCCUCCAGUGCCAUGUGUAGUAGACACCAAUCAAGCGAUGAUGAGGACGAUGAGGAUGAUGAUGAAGAAGAUGUGUUUGGCGCAUCUUUUUUGCCAUCGGAUAGUGACUCGGGGAGUGAUAUCAUCUUUGAUAACGGUGAUGAAAGCAUAGACGAGAUGUCACAGCUUGACCCGAGCAAAAGAACAGCGACUGAAACAACAGAGAGCACAGACUUGGAUCAACCACACCUCAUAGCGCAUUACUUGUACAUACAAAUGGAAUACUGUGAAAAAAGCACUUUAAGAGACACCAUAGAUCAUGGCCUGCAUCAGGACCAGAAUCGGUUAUGGAGGCUGUUUAGGGAAAUCCUGGAUGGCCUCGCAUACAUCCAUGAGCAGGGGAUGAUUCACAGGGAUUUGAAGCCUGUCAACAUCUUCCUCGACUCGCAGGACCAUGUGAAAAUUGGAGAUUUUGGCCUGGCGACAGAUCAUCCUGCUAAUGUGGCUGCAGGUAAAAUUGAAGUAGAGGAGAUUGUCUCUGCAGUGAUGCCCAAAGUGGACCCAACAGGUAACAUGACCGGCAUGGUUGGCACUGCGCUCUACGUCAGUCCGGAGGUUCAAGGAAAUACUAAAGCUACCUACAAUCAAAAAGUUGACCUGUUCAGCUUGGGAAUCAUCCUCUUUGAGAUGACCUAUAGGCCGAUGGUCACUGGGGCUGAGCGCAUCUCUGUCCUGAGCCAGCUGCGUGUUGAGCCAAUCGUCUUCCCUGAGGACUAUACAGCGUAUGAGCAAGGAACACAGAGGAAAGUGAUACAGUGGCUGUUAACCCAUGAUCCAGCUCUGCGGCCCACCACCCAGGAGCUGCUCAAGAGUGAACUGCUGCCUCCGUCUCAGAUGCAGGAGUCGGAGCUGCAUGAGGUGCUGCAGCACACCAUGGCCAACAUCAAUGGCAAGGCCUACCGCACCAUGGUGGGCCAGCUGUUCGCUCAGAAUACCACACCGGUCAUGGAUUACACCUACGACAUAGACCUGCAUAAGGGUAGCUUCAGCUUCAGUGGUGCCAAAUUGCAGCAGCAUGUGUAUGAAACAAUCACCAGGAUCUUCAAGAAGCAUGGUGCAGUCCGUCUCCAGACACCGCUGCUCCUCCCCAGGAACAGGAAGUUGUAUGAUGGCAGUGAGCCGGCCUGCUUCAUGGACCACAGCGGAAUGCUGGUUACGCUGCCCUAUGACCUUCGCAUGCCGUUUGCCAGAUUCAUCGCCCGCAACAAUGUAACUCACCUGAAAAGGUAUAGCAUCGAGCGCGUGUUCCGCCCCAGGAAGCUGGAUCGCGCACACCCGAGGGAGCUUCUGGAGUGUGCCUUUGACAUCAUCACACCCGUCACCAACAGCUUGCUCCCUGAUGCCGAGACCAUUUACACCAUCUCUGAAAUAGUUCAGGAAUUCCCUGCACUCCAGGAGAGAAACUAUAACAUUUACCUUAACCACACCAGUCUGUUGAAGGCCAUCCUGCUCCACAGUGGAGUCCCUGAAGACAAACUGAGCCAGGCCUCUAGCAUUCUGUGUGACGCUAUGAGUGAAAAGCUGACCAGACGUGAGGUGGAGGCAAAGUUCUGCAACUUGUCAUUGUCAACCAACAGCUUGCAGAUACUGUACAAGUACAUAGAACUGAAGGGAAACCUGCAGGACCUGGUGCCACUUCUGACACCACUCACCAAGCACAAGACGGCUGUCACCCAGCUGGCCAAGCAGGGCCUCAAGGACCUGGAGGAGCUCACUGUGCUCCUGUGUAGACUGGGAGUAAAACUGCAGGUGGUGGUCAAUUUGGGUUUAGUGUACAAGGUGCAGCACCACAGUGGAGUCAUCUUCCAGUUUGUGGCUUUUAUAAGGAAACGCAAACGAACUGUACCAGAUAUUGUGGCGGCUGGAGGACGUUACGACCACUUGAUCGUGGAGUUUCGAGGGCCAGCCUCCACAGUGCCAGUCCCCUCCGCAGUAGGGGCCAGUGUGGCUCUUGACAAAAUCUGUGCUGCUAUAGCCAACAUGGAAGAACAAAUGUCAGUGAGCUCCUGUGAUGCCCUUGUGGUCCCAGUUGGACAUUCGUCGAUGUCCAGAGCCGUCAGUGUUGUCCAGAAGCUGUGGAGCACCGGUCUCUCCGCAGACAUUGCCUAUGAUGUCUCACAGUCUCAGGAGGUGUUGCAGGACCACUGCAAAGUGGCCGGCAUCACCUGCAUGGCCCUGGUGUCUGACAAGGAGGGAAGCUAUGUGAAGGUAAAAUCAUUUGAGAGGGACAGACAGUCAGAGAAACGGAUUCCGGAGUCGGAUUUGGUGGACCACAUCAUUCAGAAAUGUCGGACCAAAUUCUUUGACGAAAGAAACAUAAGAGAAAUCCCUGAAAGCAUGUCUCUUCAGAACCCCAAAGGAUCGCUGCUCAACACCACAGGGUCUUCAGAGCAGCAUGGGAGCAGCAGCACCAUGAACCUUAAUGUGAACAUCAUCAGUCCUGAGAAAGUUUCCUCCAGUGUUAAACGACGCUAUGAGACUCAGGUCCAUACCAGAUUACAGAAUCUUGGAAGCACUUUGCAGAACAAGAGCAACGACAUCGAGGUCCUGGCUGUGGACCUGCAAAAGGAAACGCUGAUCAACUUCCUGUCUCUGGAGUUCGACAAUGAAGAGCUGUUCAACAGCAGCGUGAAGACUCUGCUGUCUCGUCUCCCGAAACAGCGCUACCUAAAGUCCAUCUGUGACGAGAUCCACCAUUACAAAGUUACAAAAAGGAUGGCUGUGGUCAUCUUAUACAGCUACAAGGAGGAUUACUUCAAGAUCCUUCUAUGAAAAACUCUCCUCGAACGAGAGACUAGAACUUCCCCCCCCCCAAGGCUCUGGGGACGUCCACCGGCUGAUUUCGUCAUUGGACCCACAGUAUCUACUUGAAAACUGGCCGAUUUGUACCUCCUCCCUUUGGAAAGUAGAGGAUUCCUCACCUAUUAUUCCAUGAGCAAGCUUUGAUGGACAAGUCAAAACAACAGCACCUGAGGAUGAUCCAGGGUUUCCACCUCUGGCCUGCAGAUGUUUGUCUUUUCUUAGCCCACUGGAUAAAAGAGAGGGUCUACGUGCUUUUUGCUUGCUUUCUGAUCUCCUCAAACACACAACCGAGCAAAGCUGGACACAUCUGCUUUAGCUCCCAAGAUAAGGAAAACCACUGUGGUAAGGAAGAGAAAACGAGUUCAAGUCAAAUGACCUAAAAGUGCACCAGUUAGUAGCAGUUAAGUCCAGGUGUGUGCAGUUCUGUAAAUGAACUAAAGAACGACUAAGAACAGAUAUCACUGCACCUCAGACUCGAUUGCUCCUCAAACCCAGUCACAAAAACCCACGAUCAUCACACGCCACUUUGGUUCACACAUUUAUUUUUC